This 469-nucleotide long non-coding RNA is filed under the name Salmo trutta (river trout). Its description in RNAcentral is "lncRNA (ENSSTUG00000002688.1)". Lineage: Eukaryota; Metazoa; Chordata; Actinopteri; Salmoniformes; Salmonidae. The record is from RNAcentral.
GAGUGUUUAGUGCUGUCGUCACUGCUCUUGAUUGUUUGACCCUGGGAGAAAGUUCUGCCACAGGGGGAGAUAUGUGUCUGAAACCGAGGGACUGGAACAGACAGAAUAGGAGAGGGAUACCGCGAGCGUGAGAGCCUCGGCUCAGGCUUUGACCAUUCAGCUACCGGACGCCAUUGUGGCUGAGAGACUGGAGGCUCAGGAGGCUAGAGGAAGAUGUUGACCCCAUGGGGGUUGUUCCUCUGCCAGCUGGCAAUAAUCACAUCCUACCAUGUCAUCAAAGCCAGCCUCUGCCUGGGUGGGUCGGACAUCUUUGCAACGGUGAGCGAGAACAGCCCCGUAGGAGAGUUCAUAGCGAACCUCAGCAUCAUCGGGGACCCUACAGGAGUCAAUAGCAUCCGCUUGUGCCUCACCGGAGAGAACGCCAAUUGGUUCUACCUUGAAGGGAGAACCAUCAGGCUAAACUCAUCCG